This 459-nucleotide ribosomal RNA is filed under the name uncultured bacterium. RNAcentral describes it as "partial 16S ribosomal RNA". It matches the Rfam family "Bacterial small subunit ribosomal RNA", at positions 338 to 795 of the family's 1533-position model. The record is from RNAcentral.
CCUACGGGGGGCAGCAGUGAGGAAUAUUGGUCAAUGGGCGCGAGCCUGAACCAGCCAAGUAGCGUGAAGGACGAAGGUGCCAAGCAUUGUAAACUUCUUUUGUCAAGGGACAAAAUCAGGCUCGAGAGCCUGACCGAGGGUACUUGAAGAAAAAGCAUCGGCUAACUCCCUGCCAGCAGCCGCGGGAAUACGGAGGAUGCGAGCGUUAUCCGGAUUUAUUGGGUUUAAAGGGUGCGUAGGCGGACUGUUAAGUCAGCGGUAAAAGCCCGGGGCUCAACCCCGGCGAGCCGUUGAAACUGGCUGUCUUGAGAUGGAGAGAGGUAUGCGGAAUGCGCAGUGUAGCGGUGAAAUGCUUAGAUAUUGCGCAGAACUCCGAUUGCGAAGGCAGCAUACCGGCGGCGAUCUGACGCUGAGGCACGAAAGCGUGGGUAUCGAACAGGAUUAGAUACCCGGGUAGUC